GAUGAACGCUAGCGAUAGGCUUAACACAUGCAAGUCGAGGGGCAGCAUGGUCUUAGCUUGCUAAGACUGAUGGCGACCGGCGCACGGGUGCGUAACGCGUAUGCAACUUGCCUCACAGAGGGGGAUAACCCGUCGAAAGACGGACUAACACCGCGUACACUUGGGAUAGGGCAUCCUGACCCAAGGAAAUGAAAUUCGCUGUGAGAUAGGCAUGCGUCCCAUUAGCUAGUUGGUGAGGUAACGGCUCACCAAGGCGACGAUGGGUAGGGGAACUGAGAGGUUGAACCCCCACACUGGUACUGAGACACGGACCAGACUCCUACGGGAGGCAGCAGUGAGGAAUAGUGGUCAAUGGGCGAGAGCCUGAACCAGCCAAGUCGCGUGAAGGAUGACUGUCUUAUGGAUUGUAAACUUCUUUUAUACGGGAAUAACAAGAGUCACGUGUGGCUCCCUGCAUGUACCGUAUGAAUAAGCAGCGGCUAACUCCGU
RNAcentral lists this ribosomal RNA (489 nucleotides) under uncultured bacterium. RNAcentral's name for it is "partial 16S ribosomal RNA". It matches the Rfam family "Bacterial small subunit ribosomal RNA", at positions 28 to 506 of the family's 1533-position model. The record is from RNAcentral.